RNAcentral lists this ribosomal RNA (497 nucleotides) under uncultured bacterium. RNAcentral describes it as "partial 16S ribosomal RNA". It matches the Rfam family "Bacterial small subunit ribosomal RNA", at positions 28 to 507 of the family's 1533-position model. The record is from RNAcentral.
GAUGAACGCUGGCGGCGUGCCUAAUACAUGCAAGUCGAGCGAACGGACGAGAAGCUUGCUUCUCUGAUGUUAGCGGCGGACGGGUGAGUAACACGUGGAUAACCUACCUAUAAGACUGGGAUAACUUCGGGAAACCGGAGCUAAUACCGGAUGAUAUUUUGAACCACAUGGUUCAAAAGUGAAAGACGGCCUUGCUGUCACUUAUAGAUGGAUCCGCGCUGCAUUAGCUAGUUGGUAAGGUAACGGCUUACCAAGGCAACGAUGCAUAGCCGACCUGAGAGGGUGAUCGGCCACACUGGAACUGAGACACGGUCCAGACUCCUACGGGAGGCAGCAGUAGGGAAUCUUCCGCAAUGGGCGAAAGCCUGACGGAGCAACGCCGCGUGAGUGAUGAAGGUCUUCGGAUCGUAAAACUCUGUUAUUAGGGAAGAACAUAUGUGUAAGUAACUGUGCACAUCUUGACGGUACCUAAUCAGAAAGCCACGGCUAACUACGUG